AGUGAACGCUGGCGGUAGGCCUAACCAUUCCAAUUCAACCGUCACCCAGCUAAGAGCUUCCCCUUCGGGUGGCCGGUGGGCGGCCGGUUAAGGCAUAAAUCGAAUUCUACUUUUUGGUGGGGCUUAAGGUAGGGAAAUUUAGCCUAAACCCCCUUACACCCAUGGGUGGAAGGCAGGGGUUCUUGGGCCUUGCCCGGUUGGAUCGAGCGAUGUCGGAUUAGCUAGUUGGCGGGGUAAAGGCCCACCAAGGCGACGGUUCGUAGCUGGUCUGAGAGGAUGAUCAGCCACACUGGAACUGAGACACGGUCCAGACUCCUACGGGAGGCAGCAGUGGGGAAUAUUGGACAAUGGGCGCAAGCCUGAUCCAGCCAUACCGCGUGGGUGAAGAAGGCCUUCGGGUUGUAAAGCCCUUUUGUUGGGAAAGAAAAGCAGCAGGUUAAUACCCCGCUGUUCUGACGGUACCCAAAGAAUAAGCACCGGCUAACUUCGUG
Molecule: ribosomal RNA, 491 nt
Filed under: uncultured bacterium
Lineage: Bacteria
Description: partial 16S ribosomal RNA
Rfam family: Bacterial small subunit ribosomal RNA
Source: RNAcentral